Molecule: ribosomal RNA, 1784 nt
Filed under: Orius sauteri
Lineage: Eukaryota; Metazoa; Arthropoda; Insecta; Hemiptera; Anthocoridae
Description: SSU rRNA
Rfam family: Eukaryotic small subunit ribosomal RNA
Source: RNAcentral
UGUCAGUAUAGACUGCUAUACGGUGAAACCUGCAAAAAGGAUCAGUAAACCAGACAUGAUUCACUGGAGUAAACCUUGACUGUGUCUUGGAUAACUGUGGUAAUUCUAGAGCUAAUACAUGCAACCUAAGUCUCCGACCGGUAACGGCGGGGACGCUUUUAUUAGGAUCAAGACCAUUCGCUUCGGCGUUCACUUGAUGACUCAGAAUAACACCUCAGAUCGCGUCGGUCUCUGUACCGGCGACUUAUCUUUCAAAUGCCUGACUUAUCAACUGACGAUGGUAGACUCCGCGUCUACCAUGGUCGUUACGGGUAACGGGGAAUCAGGGUUCGAUUCCGGAGAGGGAGCCUGAGAAACGGCUACCACAUCCAAGGAAGGCAGCAGGCACGCAAAUUACCCACUCCCGGCACGGGGAGGUAGUGACAAAAAAUAACGAUACGGGACUCUUUUAGAGGCCCCGUAAUCGGAAUGAAUACACUUUAAAACCUUGUUUAAAGGUCAAUCGGAGGGAAAGUCUGGUGCCAGCAGCCGCGGUAACUCCAGCUCCGAUAGCGUAUAUUAAAAUUGUUGCGGUUAAAAAGCUCGUAGUUGGUUCUGCGUACCACGCUGUCGGUACACCGCCUGUCGGUGACACUGGCAUGCCGUGGUAUGUCCUGUCGGUGGCGGCCGUGUAAGCCCCGCGGAAAGCGGCACCGGGUCAUGCCGAGCCGUGUUCAUACCGCGGGGUCCAAGCGCGGUCGCCGACUCCUAUCCUACCGCGGUGCCCUUCAUUGAGUGUCGAGGUAGGCCGACACGUUUACUUUGAACAAAUUAGAGUGCUUAAAGCAGGCUCAAAUUUCUGCCUGAAUAGUGGUGCAUGGAAUAAUGGAACAGGCCCUUGGUCCUAUUCUGUUGGUCUCCGGGACACAAGGUAAUGAUCAAUAUGGACAGUGCGGGGGCAUUCGUAUUGCGGCGUUAGAGGUGAAAUUCUUGGAUCGUCGCAAGACGCACUAGAGCGAAAGCAUUUGCCAAGUAUGUCUUAAUUGAUCAAGAACGAAAGUAGAGUGAGCAGCGAUCCGCCGAUGUUCCUCCGAUGACUCGGCGGGGAGCUUCCCCCGGGAAACCAAAGCGUUUGGGUUCCGGGGGAAGUAUGGUUGCAAAGCUGAAACUUAAAGGAAUUGACGGAAGGGCACCACCAGGAGUGGAGCCUGCGGCUUAAUUUGACUCAACACGGGAAACCUCACCAGGUCAGGACAUUGGAAUGAUUGACAGAUUGAUAGCUCUUUCUUGAUUCAGUGGGUAGUGGUGCAUGGCCGUUCUUAGUUGGUGGACCGAUUUGUCUGGUUAAUUCCGAUAACGAACGAGACUCUAGCCUAUUAACUAGACGUUUCCGGUAUCGUAGCUACCGGCGAAAAGUUCUCUUCUUAGGGGGACAGGCGGCUUUUAGCCGCACGAGAUUGAGCAAUAACAGGUCUGUAAUGCCCUUAGAUGUCCUGGGCCGCACGCGCGCUACACUGAAGGAAUCAGCGUGUGUCUUCCCUUGGCCGAAAGGUCCGGGUAACCCGCUGAACCUCCUUCGUGCUAGGAAUUGGGGCUUGCAAUUGUUCCCCAUGAACGAGGAAUUCCCAGUAAGCGCGAGUCAUAAGCUGGCGUUGAUUACGUCCCUGCCCUUUGUACACACCGCCCGUCGCUGCUACCGAUUGAAUGGUUUAGUGAGGUCUUCGGACCGGCGGUAAGCGGGACCGUCUUCGUGUCGGUCUUGCCGAACGCUGGGAAGAUGACCAAACUCGAGCAUUAGAGCAGGA